RNAcentral lists this ribosomal RNA (547 nucleotides) under uncultured archaeon. RNAcentral describes it as "bacterial SSU rRNA". It matches the Rfam family "Archaeal small subunit ribosomal RNA", at positions 326 to 873 of the family's 1478-position model. The record is from RNAcentral.
CGGGGUGCAGCAGGCGCGAAAACUUUACAAUGCUGGCAACAGCGAUAAGGGGACCUUGAGUGCCAGGAUACAAUCCUGGCUGUCGUGAUGCCUAAAAAGCAUUAUAUAGCAAGGGCCGGGCAAGACCGGUGCCAGCCGCCGCGGUAACACCGGCGGCUCGAGUGGUAACCGCUAUUAUUGGGUCUAAAGGGUCUGUAGCCGGCUUGGUUAGUCUCUUGGGAAAUCCGGCAGCUUAACUGUCGGGCUUUCAGGAGAUACUGCCAGGCUCGAGACCGGGAGAGGUGAGAGGUACUUCAUGGGUAGGGGUGAAAUCUUGUAAUCCUUGAAGGACCACCAGUGGCGAAGGCGUCUCACCAGAACGGAUCUGACGGCAAGGGACGAAAGCUAGGGGCACGAACCGGAUUAGAUACCCGGGUAGUCCUAGCCGUAAACGAUACUCGCUAGGUGUCGGCCACGGUGCGACCGUGGUCGGUGCCGUAGGGAAGCCGUGAAGCGAGCCACCUGGGAAGUACGGCCGCAAGGCUGAAACUUAAAGGAAUUGGCGGGG